This is a long non-coding RNA of Equus asinus (donkey), 2448 nucleotides long. NCBI's taxonomy places the organism in Eukaryota, Metazoa, Chordata, Mammalia, Perissodactyla, Equidae. The record is from Ensembl.
CCCUGGGCCACCAAAGCGGAGUGCACGAACUUAACCACUUGGCCACGGGGCUGGCCCCAGGGUGGGUACUUUUUUUUUUUUUUUUUUUGAGAAAGAUCAGCCCUGAGCUAACUACUGCCAAUCUUUCUCUUUUUGCUGAGGAAGACUGGCCCUGAGCUAACAUUCAUGCCCAUCUUCCUCUACUUUAUUUGUGGGAUGCCUACCACAGCAUGGCUUUUGCCAAGUGGUGCCAUAUCUGCACCUGGGAUCCGAACCGGUGAACCCCGGGCCGCUGAGAAGUGGAACGUGUGAACUUAACGGCUAUACUACCGGGCUGGCGCCCGUUCUUUUUUUUUUUGAUAGUAGCUAUGCUGAUAGGUGUGAAGUAUCUAGUAUUUUAAUAAUAGUUUAGUUUUGAGUGUUUUCUAAUUUUCAUUAAGAUUCCUUUUUUGGUCCAUAAAUUAUUGUACUUAAAUAUUUUAGUUGGUUAUUUUUAAUAAUGUGAGCACCUUCAAACCCACCACUACAAAACAAAAGCUAGGACUUGCCAGUAACCCGAGCCACCAUAUGUCCCCUCCACCGGGCCCCCACCCAUCCCAUUCUGUUCUCCCACCCGGGGUAACCGUCUGGAGUUCCAUAUGCCCUUGUUUUCUUUUCAUAUGGUUUUCUUGUAUUUAAAAGUUAUUUUAACCUUAUGAAAAGGAUAUGCUGAACGUCUUAUUUGGGGGCUGACUUCUUUCAUUUAAUAAUUUAAUUUGUUAUUUAAUUAUUCACUUUAACUUCCGUCAUUGUAUUACUGUGGUCCCGCUCAUUGCUCUGUGUUGCUGGUCUUCGUUUGUUUUGACUGUCAAUGUUUCCUUGCGGGACGGUUUAUCCGUUUAGUCUUCUGCUGCUGGCCCUCCACGUCUUCCCAUUUUUCUGCCGUUGUAAACAUUCUUGCACGUGUGUCUUUGUUCGGGUGGGAGAGCUUCUCUUGGGACGGUACCUAGGCGUGAACUCGCUCUGUCACGACUUUAGGCAGUGCUGCCCACUGUUUUCCGGAGUGGCUGCUCUGAUCCACAUUCACCGACAGCGGAUCCCUGUGGUGGAUUUCAUGACUUCUUGCUACAGUCUGUCCAUGUUUUCUUAAUAUAUUUGGAGUUUAUGUUAUUUAGCACAACAUGUUUAAAAUUGCUAUCUCUUUUUGUGAAUCGAACCCUUCAUUAUAGCGUGACUCUGUCCAUCCCUACAGAAGCUUCUUAUCUUAGUUUCUUUCAUCUGAUGUUCGUGUAGCUGCCCCACGUUUCUUCUGGUUGGGUUAGUAUUUUUGCCUGACAAGUCAUCGUCCAUCCUCUUGCUCUCAAGCUGUGCAUGGUCCCUUGCUUUAGAUGUCUCUGUGUGGAUCUGGAUUCUUCAAAGUUGAAUCACUAAUUUUCUUUUAACUGAUACAUUUAGUCCAUUUAACUCAUGGUGCUAAUUGGAAUAUUGAGACCCAUCUGUCAUAUUUGAAUGACAGUUUGGGUGGAUAUAAAGUUCUAGAUUCUAACUUCUUUUCCUUCAAUACUUUGCAAAUACUAUGUUAUUAUCUUCUUGUGUCCAGUGUUGCUGUUGAAAAGUCUGAUGUCAGCCUGAUUCUCUUUCCUUUAUGUGUGAUAUGCUUUUCUCUCUGUAAGCGUUAUCUCUGAUAUCCUUAACGUCCUGGAUGACGUGUGUAACUGCGAGUUAUUCCUUUUUUCCCCCUUUUGGCACUCUGCACUUUUUUGAUCCAAGGUGCUUCAUAUUUGUAUUACUCCAGGAAAUCUGUCUCCGUUAUUUCUUCAAAUAUUUUCUCCUUUCAUGUUUAUAUUUCUCUGUAGAAUUCCCAUUAUUCAGACGUUAGCACCUUUCCUUGUAUCUUCUAUAUCUCUUAGCUUUUCUUUUACAAUUUUAUUUCUUCAGUCCUUCCUCUUACAAGGUUUUCUCAAUCUAGUCUUCUAGUCACUGUUUCAUUUCUAAAUUGUAUUCCUUCUGUCGUAUAUCCUGUCUCUUGUGUUCUUUAUUUCAGCUCAGGCUGAGUUCUCUAGCAGGGUUAAACUACAGGUGACCAUACGGGAAAUUUCCUGCAUAGAGAACUCUGGGAGCCAGUGUCUGAGACACUUCAACAAUAGCCCCCUGUGGGGCAAGGCAGCCGGGUGUUUGCCUGUCAGCUCCCACCUGCCGUUGUGGGCGGGCUGCUCCUGGAGGCGUUAGCUGCCAGCCCACCCAUGUGCCGGUGGACCAGUAGGUGAGCUGGCUUCAGUGGCCGGGGAAAGUCCUCAGGCAAAGGCAACGGCAGGUGCUUGCUGUUGAAAUCUGGCCAGCGUGCACAAGUCUGUUACGUGCUGAGAGGAUACGUAUGGGAUUCUAGAGAGUGUGCACUUCUCAGUAGGAGAAGCAAGUCCAUAAAUGCAAAAGCCCUGGGGCCAGUGAGUGCUGGUGGGAUGUAAUUUCCAAAGCUGAGGUGAAUUCCAU